This 404-nucleotide ribosomal RNA is filed under the name uncultured bacterium. Its description in RNAcentral is "bacterial SSU rRNA". It matches the Rfam family "Bacterial small subunit ribosomal RNA", at positions 29 to 421 of the family's 1533-position model. The record is from RNAcentral.
AACGAACGCUGGCGGCGCGCCUAAUACAUGCAAGUCGAGCGAGAAGACGUAGCAAUACGUUUGUAAAGCGGCGAACGGGUGAGGAAUACAUGGGUAACCUACCCUCGAGUGGGGAAUAACUAGCCGAAAGGUUAGCUAAUACCGCGUACGCUCCUUGGACUUCGGUUCAGGGAGGAAAGCGAUACCGUGGGUAUCGCGCUCUUGGAUGGGCUCAUGUCCUAUCAGCUUGUUGGUGAGGAACGGCUCACCAAGGCUUCGACGGGUAGCUGGUCUGAGAGGACGAUCAGCCACACUGGCACUGCGACACGGGCCAGACUCCUACGGGAGGCAGCAGUAAGGAAUAUUGCGCAAUGGGCGGAAAGACCUGACGCAGCGACGCCGCGUGGGGGAGUGAAGGUCUUCGG